CCGGGCCGGGGUGAUCACCUGUCGUGCGCUGGGGGCGCGCGUGGAGGCGUACGACCCGCUGGCCCGGCCC
Molecule: transfer RNA, 70 nt
Filed under: Actinoplanes philippinensis
Lineage: Bacteria; Bacillati; Actinomycetota; Actinomycetes; Micromonosporales; Micromonosporaceae
Description: tRNA-Pro
Source: RNAcentral